This 724-nucleotide ribosomal RNA is filed under the name Meloidogyne incognita (southern root-knot nematode). Its description in RNAcentral is "partial 28S ribosomal RNA". It matches the Rfam family "Eukaryotic large subunit ribosomal RNA", at positions 456 to 966 of the family's 3401-position model. Lineage: Eukaryota; Metazoa; Nematoda; Chromadorea; Rhabditida; Meloidogynidae. The record is from RNAcentral.
CCNNGUGUUUUCCCCAACCGAGCGGGAAGUAGGGGUGGAAGGUUCUUUCCUCCCCCCCAAUUCGGGGGGGAGGGACAUUAUUUUUAUGUUGCGACCUCUGAGCUCCAGAUUGGGACAGAGGGAAUCAGCAUAAUUUUUUGUGGUGCAUUUACUUGAUUGGUGCUUGGGGAUGUUUGAGGCAGAUUUGUUUCCGUCGUUUUGAGGCCAGCUUGCUGGUACCCAAACGGUGUUAGCAUUUUUUGUCUUGGGCAUUUGAGUAUGGCUCACGUGUAUUUAUUGGACAGAUCUGAGUGUAAGUUACGGUCGCAUGCGACACGUGCUUUUCAAUUAGUUCGGUCCAGUUAAUGCUCUCGUACUCGUUCCCCAUGUAAAAGCCGGUCAUCUAUCCGACCCGUCUUGAAACACGGACCAAGGAGUUUAUCGUGUGCGCAAGUUUUUGGGUGUUAAAAACUUAAAAGCGAAAUGAAAGUAAAUGACUCUUUAGAGUCUGAUGUGCGAUCUUGUAAAAAAGUGUAGCAUGGCCCCAUUCUAACUGUUUACAGUAGGGUGGCGGAAGAGCGUACGCGGUGAGACCCGAAAGAUGGUGAACUAUUCCUGAGCAGGACGAAGCCAGAGGAAACUCUGGUGGAAGUCCGAAGCGGUUCUGACGUGCAAAUCGAUCGUCUGACUUGGGUAUAGGGGCGAAAGACUAAUCGAACCAUCUAGUAGCUGGUUCCUUCCGAAA